GAUGAACGCUGGCGGCGUGCCUAAUACAUGCAAGUCGAGCGAACGGACGAGAAGCUUGCUUCUCUGAUGUUAGCGGCGGACGGGUGAGUAACACGUGGAUCCCCUACCUAUCAGACUGGGAUAACUUCGGGAAACCGGCGCUAAUACCGUAUAAUAUUUUGAACCGCAUGGUUCAAAAGUAAAAGACGGUCUUGCUGUCACUUAUAGAUGCAUCCCGGCUGCAUUAGCUAGUUGGUAAGGUUACGGCUUACCAGGGCAACGAUGCGUAGCCGACCGCUUAGGGGGAUCGGCCACACGGGAACUGAGCCACGGUCCAGACUACUGCGGGAGGCAGCAGUAGGGAAUCUGCCGCAAUGGGCGAAAGCCUGACGGAGCAACGCCGCGUGAGUGAUGAAGGUCUUCGGAGCGUAAAACUCUGUUAUGAGGGAAGAACAGAUUUGGAAGUAACUGUGCACAUAGUGACGGUACCUAAUCAGAAAGCAACGGCUAACUACGUG
This 497-nucleotide ribosomal RNA is filed under the name uncultured bacterium. Its description in RNAcentral is "partial 16S ribosomal RNA". It matches the Rfam family "Bacterial small subunit ribosomal RNA", at positions 28 to 507 of the family's 1533-position model. The record is from RNAcentral.